GAUGAACGCUGGCGGCGCGCCUAACACAUGCAAGUCGAACGAUUAAAGCACCUUCGGGUGUGUAUAAAGUGGCGAACGGCUGAGUAACACGUGGGCAACCUGCCCCUCUCAUUGGGAUAGCCACGGGAAACCGUGGAUAAUACCGAAUACUUCGGGACUUCCGCAUGGAAGACUCGAGAAAGCUCCGGCGGAGAGGGGUGGGCCCGCGGCCUGUUAGCUUGUUGGUGGGGUAAUGGCCUACCAAGGCAAUGAUGGGUAGCUGGGUUGAGAGACCGACCAGCCAGAUUGGGACUGAGACACGGCCCAGACUCCUACGGGAGGCAGCAGUGGGGAAUCUUGCACAAUGGGCGAAAGCCUGAUGCAGCGACGCCGCGUGCGGGAUGAAGGCCUUCGGGUUGUAAACCGCUUUCAGCAGGGACGAGGCGAAAGUGACGGUACCUGCAGAAGAAGCCCCGGCUAACUACGUG
This 467-nucleotide ribosomal RNA is filed under the name uncultured bacterium. RNAcentral's name for it is "partial 16S ribosomal RNA". It matches the Rfam family "Bacterial small subunit ribosomal RNA", at positions 28 to 507 of the family's 1533-position model. The record is from RNAcentral.